This 786-nucleotide ribosomal RNA is filed under the name Triticum aestivum (bread wheat). Its description in RNAcentral is "partial small subunit ribosomal RNA". Lineage: Eukaryota; Viridiplantae; Streptophyta; Magnoliopsida; Poales; Poaceae. The record is from RNAcentral.
AUGGCCGACGCAGUCCGCGACGGGCAGACGGCCCUGGCGCUCCGCCUCGCCAAGCACCUCGCGGAAGACGGCUUCGGCGGCAAGAGCGAGAACAUAGCGUUCUCGCCUCUGUCGAUCCACGCGGUGCUUGCGCUGCUUACCGCGGGGGCGCGCGGUGCCACGGAGGCCCAGCUGCUCAGCUUCCUCGGCGCGCCGUCGGCGGCUGAUCUGGCCGCCUUCGUGCGGCGCGUGGCGGAAACCGUCCUCGCCGACCAGAUGGAGGACGAGAGCGCCCCCUGCGUGCUCUUCGGCGGCGGUGUCUGGGUCGACGCUUCCUGCGGCGGGCUCAAGAAAGCGUUCCGGGAUGUUGCCACCAAGUCCUACAAAUCCCAGGCUCGCACCGUCAACUUCGCCGACGCUCCGGAGGAAGCAGUGGAGAUCAUGAACGACUGGGUGAAAAAGGCCACCAACAACCUCAUCAACUCCCUCUUUUCUCCAAGCGACAUCAAAGCUGACACCGCCCUCGUGGUCGCCAACGCGGUCUACUUCAAAGGCCUGUGGCGCAAUCCGUUCCACCGGGCCAACACGGCGCCUCGCCACUCGCCAGUUUCACCUUCUCGACGGCAGCUGCGUCAAGGCAAAGUUCAUGAGCAAGUAUUCUCAAUCCCAGUUUAUCUCUUGCGUGGAUGGUUUCAAGGUGCUCAAGCUUCCCUAUCUGGGCCCAUGGAAAACCAAGGCAGAUGCCGCCCACGCAGCUCCUUUCAAGCGUCGCCGCGGUCCAGGCGCCGCUGCAGCUGUCGACGCUGA